CAAGAGUUGCGAAAAGGCUCCCUAAAACCAUCGUGAACUUAUCCUAACCGUUGCUUCGGCGGGCGGCUCCCUCCGGGGUUCUCCCCGGCGCCCCUGGCCCCAUCAGCGUAGGGGCAGCCCGCCGGAGGUCACGAAACUCUUGAUAUUUAGUGGCCUCUCUGAGUCUUCUGUAACUAAAUAAGUCA
This 185-nucleotide unclassified non-coding RNA is filed under the name soil metagenome. RNAcentral describes it as "partial internal transcribed spacer 1". The record is from RNAcentral.